RNAcentral lists this ribosomal RNA (215 nucleotides) under uncultured bacterium. Its description in RNAcentral is "partial 16S ribosomal RNA". It matches the Rfam family "Bacterial small subunit ribosomal RNA", at positions 1285 to 1500 of the family's 1533-position model. The record is from RNAcentral.
GUCCCAGUUCGGACUGUAGUCUGCAACCCGACUACACGAAGCUGGAAUCGCUAGUAAUCGCGGAUCAGAAUGUCGCGGUGAAUACGUUCCCGGGUCUUGUACACACCGCCCGUCACACCAUGGGAGCCGGUAAUACCCGAAGUCAGUAGUCCAACCUCGUGAGGACGCUGCCGAAGGUAGGAUUGGCGACUGGGGUGAAGUCGUAACAAGGUAAC